This 731-nucleotide ribosomal RNA is filed under the name Alexandrium tamutum. RNAcentral describes it as "partial large subunit ribosomal RNA". It matches the Rfam family "Eukaryotic large subunit ribosomal RNA", at positions 37 to 664 of the family's 3401-position model. The record is from RNAcentral. Lineage: Eukaryota; Dinophyceae; Gonyaulacales; Pyrocystaceae.
UGCAUAUUAGUAAGUGGUGGAAAAUGAACCAAAUGGGAUUCCUUAAGUAAUUGCGAAUGAACAAGGAAAUGAUCAGCUUGAAAAAUGGGGCCUUCGGCUUUGAAUUGUAAUUUUGAAAUGUAUUGCCAAUGGAGGCGCAGGUGCAAGCCUAUUGAAAGAAAGUGUCAAUGAGGGUGAGAUUCCUUUUUGUCAUUUGCAGUCCUCCGUGCACGGUAUGUAUUUGACGAGUCACACUCCUCGGCAUUGGAAUGCAAAGUGGGUGGUAAAUUCCAUGUAAAGGUAAAUAUAUUAUUGAGACUGAUAGCAAACAAGUACCAUGAGGGAAAUAUGAAAAGGACUUUGAAAAGAGAAUUAAAAGAGUCUGCAUUUGCUGAACAGAAAGCAAACAGAAUUGAUCUUGCUUGGUGAGAUUGUUGCGUCUACUCUUGCAUUUCUAUGCUGGAUGUGGGUGCGAUGGUUCUUGCCUUGAAUGUCAGCUUCUAUUUCUGCAAAUCAUUACCCUUGCACAUGAAUGGUAAUUUGCCUGCGGGUAUUGGAAUGCAUGUGUUGGCAAUGAUUUGUGAUUUGACCGUCUUGUUUGGUGGAACCGUCUUGUGACACGUUGCCGUCUUGAAAGGCUUGCCCCCUUGAACACCAGACCCCCUUGCACAAUGUUGCUGGCAAAAUGUUUCUGCUUGACCCGUCUGGAAACACGGUUGUUAAACUAUCAGUUCACGUCGCAAGAAAAUCUU